RNAcentral lists this ribosomal RNA (492 nucleotides) under uncultured bacterium. RNAcentral's name for it is "partial 16S ribosomal RNA". It matches the Rfam family "Bacterial small subunit ribosomal RNA", at positions 29 to 507 of the family's 1533-position model. The record is from RNAcentral.
AGUGAACGCUGGCGGUAGGCCUAACACAUGCAAGUCGAACGACGGCACAGUAAUAGCUUUCUCGUACGGGUUGCGAGGGGUGGGCGGGGGAGGAGUACAUCGGAAGCUACUUUUUCGCGGUGGACAACGGGGGGAAAGUUACGCUAAUACCGCAUACGAGCUACGGGGGAAAGCAGGAGAUCUUCUGACCUGACGCGAUUCGAUGAGACAAUGUCGGAUUAGAUAGUUGGCGGGGGAAAGGCACACCAAGGCGACGAACCGUAGCUGGUAUGAGAGGAUGAAUCGCUAGCCUGGAACUGAGAAACGGUCCAGACUCCUACAGGAGGAAGCAGUCGGGAAUCUUGGAGGAUGGGGGAAAGCCUGAUACAGCACUAUCGCGUGGGUGAAGAAGGCGUUCGGGUUGGAAAGCCAUUUUGUUGGGAAAGAAAAGCAGCAGGUUAAGCACCCGAUGUUCUGACGGUACCCAACUAAUAAGCACCGGCUAACUUCGUG